GAUGAACGCUGGCGGCGCGCCUAACACAUGCAAGUCGAACGAUUAAAGCACCUUCGGGUGUGUAUAAAGUGGCGAACGGCUGAGUAACACGUGGGCAACCUGCCCCUUUCAUUGGGAUAGCCACGGGAAACCGUGGAUAAUACCGAAUACUUCGAGACUUCCGCAUGGAAGACUCGAGAAAGCUCCGGCGGAGAGGGAUGGGCCCGCGGCCUGUUAGCUUGUUGGUGGGGUAACGGCCUACCAAGGCAAUGAUGGGUAGCUGGGUUGAGAGACCGACCAGCCAGAUUGGGACUGAGACACGGCCCAGACUCCUACGGGAGGCAGCAGUGGGGAAUCUUGCACAAUGGGCGAAAGCCUGAUGCAGCGACGCCGCGCGCGGGAUGAAGGCCUUCGGGUUGUAAACCGCUUUCAGCAGGGACGAGGCGAAAGUGACGGUACCUGCAGAAGAAGCCCCGGCUAACUACGUG
Molecule: ribosomal RNA, 467 nt
Filed under: uncultured bacterium
Lineage: Bacteria
Description: partial 16S ribosomal RNA
Rfam family: Bacterial small subunit ribosomal RNA
Source: RNAcentral